RNAcentral lists this ribosomal RNA (672 nucleotides) under Salmonella enterica. Its description in RNAcentral is "partial 23S ribosomal RNA". It matches the Rfam family "Bacterial large subunit ribosomal RNA", at positions 2259 to 2925 of the family's 2925-position model. The record is from RNAcentral. RNAcentral also lists the same sequence under 2 other names. Lineage: Bacteria; Pseudomonadati; Pseudomonadota; Gammaproteobacteria; Enterobacterales; Enterobacteriaceae.
UGGUGGGUAGUUUGACUGGGGCGGUCUCCUCCUAAAGAGUAACGGAGGAGCACGAAGGUUGGCUAAUCCUGGUCGGACAUCAGGAGGUUAGUGCAAUGGCAUAAGCCAGCUUGACUGCGAGCGUGACGGCGCGAGCAGGUGCGAAAGCAGGUCAUAGUGAUCCGGUGGUUCUGAAUGGAAGGGCCAUCGCUCAACGGAUAAAAGGUACUCCGGGGAUAACAGGCUGAUACCGCCCAAGAGUUCAUAUCGACGGCGGUGUUUGGCACCUCGAUGUCGGCUCAUCACAUCCUGGGGCUGAAGUAGGUCCCAAGGGUAUGGCUGUUCGCCAUUUAAAGUGGUACGCGAGCUGGGUUUAGAACGUCGUGAGACAGUUCGGUCCCUAUCUGCCGUGGGCGCUGGAGAACUGAGGGGGGCUGCUCCUAGUACGAGAGGACCGGAGUGGACGCAUCACUGGUGUUCGGGUUGUCAUGCCAAUGGCACUGCCCGGUAGCUAAAUGCGGAAGAGAUAAGUGCUGAAAGCAUCUAAGCACGAAACUUGCCCCGGGAUGAGUUCUCCCUGAGACUUAGAGUCUCCUGAAGGAACGUUGAAGACGACGACGUUGAUAGGCCGGGUGUGUAAGCGCAGCGAUGCGUUGAGCUAACCGGUACUAAUGAACCGUGAGGCUUAACCUU